Molecule: small nuclear RNA, 186 nt
Organism: Malaclemys terrapin pileata
Lineage: Eukaryota; Metazoa; Chordata; Testudines; Emydidae
Product: U2 spliceosomal RNA
Exons: 1
Source: RefSeq, a predicted model, not a curated record
AGACCUUGAAGUGAAAAAAUUCUCUAAGUUAUAUCUGUUCUUAUCAGUUUAAUAUCUGAUAUCUUCUUGAUGUGAGAACUUUAUAUUAAAUGGACUUUUGCAACAAGGAGAUGGAAUAGGAGCUUGCUCCAUCCACUCCAUGCAUCAAUCUGGUAUUGCAGUACUUCCAGGUAUGGUGUAUUUCCC